CCCUUAGACGUUCUGGGCCGCACGCGCGCUACACUGACCAGUGCAACAAGCAUCCGUCCUUGGCCGACAGGCCCGGGCAAUCUUUGAACGCUGGUCGUGAUGGGGAUAGACCUUUGCAAUUUUUGGUCUUCAACGAGGAAUUCCUAGUAAACGCAAGUCAUCAACUUGCAUUGAUUACGUCCCUGCCCUUUGUACACACCGCCCGUCGCACCUACCGAUUGAAUGGUCCGGUGAAGCCUCCGGAUUGGCGCGCACCUCGGUGCCGCCGAGAAGUUGGCUAAACCUUACCAUUUAGAGGAAGGUGAAGUCGUAACA
Molecule: ribosomal RNA, 315 nt
Filed under: uncultured eukaryote
Lineage: Eukaryota
Description: partial 18S ribosomal RNA
Rfam family: Eukaryotic small subunit ribosomal RNA
Source: RNAcentral